GAAACCCUACUGUGUGCGUAAAUGGUCUCGAUGUUUUGAACCAACACUUUUUACAUUGGGAGUUCGGGCUCUAUAUCGUUAGGCAAUGCCUUCACUGGACUGUCGACCUUUAUAGGAGAACACCCACCUGCUUAGGCAGGCUCAAAACUCGGUUUAUAAACGGCAUGGUGGGGCUCUU
Megasphaera elsdenii is the source of this 178-nucleotide non-coding RNA. It matches the Rfam family "6S / SsrS RNA". From Rfam's summary of the family: E. coli 6S RNA was the first non coding RNA to be sequenced, but its function was unknown until recently. It consists of 184 nucleotides that fold into an extended hairpin structure with a large single-stranded internal bulge. Lineage: Bacteria; Bacillati; Bacillota; Negativicutes; Veillonellales; Veillonellaceae. The record is from Rfam.